GAGUUUGAUCAUGGCUCAGGACGAACGCUGGCGGCGUGCCUAAUACAUGCAAGUCGAGCGAGCUUGCCUAGAUGAUUUUAGUGCUUGCACUAAAUGAAACUAGAUACAAGCGAGCGGCGGACGGGUGAGUAACACGUGGGUAACCUGCCCAAGAGACUGGGAUAACACCUGGAAACAGAUGCUAAUACCGGAUAACAACACUAGACGCAUGUCUAGAGUUUGAAAGAUGGUUCUGCUAUCACUCUUGGAUGGACCUGCGGUGCAUUAGCUAGUUGGUAAGGUAACGGCUUACCAAGGCAAUGAUGCAUAGCCGAGUUGAGAGACUGAUCGGCCACAUUGGGACUGAGACACGGCCCAAACUCCUACGGGAGGCAGCA
Molecule: ribosomal RNA, 377 nt
Filed under: uncultured Lactobacillus sp.
Lineage: Bacteria; Bacillati; Bacillota; Bacilli; Lactobacillales; Lactobacillaceae
Description: bacterial SSU rRNA
Rfam family: Bacterial small subunit ribosomal RNA
Source: RNAcentral